UCCCUAUGGGGUGCAGCAGGCGCGAAACCUCCACAAUGCGCGAAAGCGUGAUGGGGUUAGCCCGAGUGCCGUCCGAAAAGGAUGGCUUUUCCUUGGUGUAAAAACCCAGGGGAAUAAAGGGGGGGCAAGACUGGUGUCAGCCGCCGCGGUAAUACCAGCCCCCUGAGUUAUAGGGACGAUUAUUUAGCCUAAAGCGACCGUAGCCGGCUUAGUGAGUCUUUUGUUAAAUCCAAUGAUUCAAUCAUUGAACUGCAAGAGAUACUGCUACGCUAGAGGACGGGAGAGGUCGACGGUAGUCCAGGGGUAGGGGUGAAAUCCUAUAAUCCUUGGAGGACCACCAGUGGCGAAGGCGGUCGACUAGAACGUGCCUGACGGUGAGGGACGAAAGCUGGGGGAGCGAACCGGAUUAGAUACCCGGGUAGUCCCAGCUGUAAACGAUGCAGGCUAGGUGUUUGGGUGGCCACGAGCCGCCCUAGUGCCGCAGGGAAGCUGUUAAGCCUGCCGCCUGGGGAGUACGGCCGCAAGGCUGAAACUUAAAGGAAUUGGCGGGGGAGCACCACAAGGGGUGAAGCUUGCGGUUUAAUUGGAUUCAACGCCGGAA
Molecule: ribosomal RNA, 601 nt
Filed under: uncultured archaeon
Lineage: Archaea
Description: bacterial SSU rRNA
Rfam family: Archaeal small subunit ribosomal RNA
Source: RNAcentral